UACGUAGGGUGCGAGCGUUGUCCGGAAUUAUUGGGCGUAAAGGGCGCGUAGGCGGCAAAUCAAGUUAGGCGUGAAAUCCCUGGGCUUAACCCAGGAACUGCGUUUAAUACUGGUUAGCUAGAGAUUGGUAGAGGAAAGUGGAAUUCCUAGUGUAGAGGUGAAAUUCGUAGAUAUUAGGAAGAACACCAGAGGCGAAGGCGACUUUCUGGGCCAAUACUGACGCUGAGGCGCGAAAGCGUGGGGAGCAAACAGG
Molecule: ribosomal RNA, 253 nt
Filed under: uncultured bacterium
Lineage: Bacteria
Description: partial 16S ribosomal RNA
Rfam family: Bacterial small subunit ribosomal RNA
Source: RNAcentral